Temnothorax curvispinosus is the source of this 2292-nucleotide RNA transcript. RefSeq lists it as uncharacterized. The record is from RefSeq and is a predicted model, not a curated record. NCBI's taxonomy places the organism in Eukaryota, Metazoa, Arthropoda, Insecta, Hymenoptera, Formicidae. The transcript is spliced from 7 exons.
CAACACAUAAACGUUAGGUAAACGUUUAAAAAUCGUUUUUCGUUCGUAAACCUGCCGAAUGGUUUUUUUCUCUAACGAUAAAAACGUCCUGUGUGGAGACUAAGUCUAAAAACGCCGCGUGAACGUUUUAGAAACGUUUAGAUCCGAACUGUAUACCUCCUGUUCUCCCCGCAUAGAGAGCGUAAGACUCGCAAGCAAUAUCGUCCAGUAUCAUUUUGGGCUUGGGUAUCAUUUCAUCUAUUUAACCUAUACGCAUACGUUUUUCUUGAGUCAACUGAAUUGAAGUGCAGAGUCUGUGUAUUUUCGACGACGAGGAGGAGAGCGUGAAAGUGGCCUCCUUCCUCGUCCGUUUGUUGUGUCGCUGCGUGCAUAUCGCGAAUAAUAAGAUAAUAAAAAGUCAUUCGUGAAAGUGUCGUCCGCGGUUUCGCGCUGCUUCUCUCGGCCAGUCUCCAUCUCCGUCCACUCUUUCCGCGCUCAUCAUCCGUUCCUACGUUCCUUUCCUGCUUCCUUUUCCACCUCUGUCCGUCAGCUGAACGUCCGCAUCGUGGCGAAAACGGUGUGAAAGUGAUCAGAGAAGAAAAGAAGGAGAGAGAGAGAGAGAGAGAGAGAGAGAGAGAGAGAGAGAGAGAGAGAGAGAGAGAGAGAGAGAGAGCGAGCAAGGAGAAUCGAUGUGCUUUGGAAGCCUCAAUAAUGAAUGUAUUGUAUUUUACGAAAUGACCGAGUUCCACAAACGAUUUAUCGGGGAGCGAAGGCUAAGAAGAUACGCCAAAGCUGAAGCUGAGAAGGUAUUCGCUCAUAUAUUAGAAGAUGAUGAGGACAUUUUAAACGCGAUUACAGCAGAUAGUAUUAUAAAUUCACAUGAGACUCAAGAUAUCUCUCAUGAUUCCAUUGAUAAUAUUAGUGAAUCUGCACAUAGCAAUAAAAAUUUACAGCUUACAAGACAAAUAAAUGAUGAUAACAAUAGUGAAUAUGUUUAUAUGAGACAUGAUCUGUUAGCAAGUAUUGAAUCAGAUAGUAACUCAAGUGAUGAAGAUGGAGAAGACAAUGAUGAGGAUGAGCAAGUGAAAUUCAGGCAAUGGCUAAGAGAAUGGAAUUUAAAACACAAUAUUACAGUGGAAACGUGCAGAGAGCUUCUUGCAAAACUAAAACCAUAUUAUCCAGACUUGCCCUUAGAUCCGCGGACUCUUAAUAAGACGCCUAGAGUAACAUCAAUUGUAGAAUUCGGUAACGGUUCCUAUGUCCAUGUUGGAUUAAUACCAGGACUUGAAAGACGUACGCCUACAAAAUUGUAGACUAAAAAAUUUUGGUACAAACAAAAUAGGUUUAUGUUAAUGUUGAUGGAAUAAAUAUGACCAAAAGGUACCUGUUAUUCUUUUGAUUAAAUCAUGUUCAGCACUUUUUUAAUUUAUUUUAGGAUAAUGUUAAAUUUCACCUCUUUCAUGAAAAAGGGACUUCCACAAAAAGACGAAAAUCAAACAAGCCGGGUCAAAUUGUUGAAAAUAAACGUAGAAAAAAAAAUAUUGCUCUGAAUGAUCAACACGACCAAUCUGAUAAAAGCUUUGAAGAAAUGUCUAUGACAGAGUUUGUCUCAAGGAUUAAUAGUACAAAAUAGAGCAAAACUGGAACAGCGAGUUCAGAAGCUGACAAACACAGAAGUCUGGAGAACAUAACUGAAGAGGAAGAACCAAAUGAGAACGAUCCAGUUCAAACAGAUACAGCCGCCGACACAGAUGGAAGAAGAACAGGCGUCAUAGCACUUUUGAAACAAAUGUAUGAAAAAACUAAAAAAAUAGAACAAAGGCAGACAAACUUGGAAAACAAUAUCGAGGAGAUUAAGCAACUUCUACUUUCUAGAACAGAGACUUUGACUCAUCCUAAAGAUUUACCAAAGCUGCCUCUACAAGAUUAUGCUGAUUGAAAAAAAUAAAUCGAGAAGAGUCACAGAAAGACUAUGUUAUCAAGAAACUGUGUCUAGCUGCUAGAGGGACCAGUGAUAAAGAAUGCCAAGCGAGUGAUGGAGAAAUUAAUGUCCAAUCAUGUUGGUACCUUUUACAGUUGGCAGGGAAGUAGCGGAAAAAAAGAUUCAUUUAAAAACAGUUAUGAUGGAGACUGUAAGACUUGCAAUAAAAAAACUUCGUCAUGAUGUGGAUAUGGGUACUGCUAAAGACGCAAUAAAAAACUGGCUCAAAUCAAGAAAAUUUGCCAAGAAUAAUGCUAUUCUCUUAAUAUUAAAUAAUGUGAAAAAAAAAUUUUGUGUUUAUUUUAUUUUUAAGAUUUGUAAUAAGUCUUAAA